AUUGAACGCUGGCGGCAUGCUUUACACAUGCAAGUCGAACGGUAACAGGCCUUCGGGUGCUGACGAGUGGCGGACGGGUGAGUAAUGCAUCGGAACGUACCCAGAGGUGGGGGAUAACGCAGCGAAAGCUGUGCUAAUACCGCAUGUGAUCUGAGGAUGAAAGCGGGGGACCGAGCAGCAAUGUUUGGCCUCGCGCCUUUGGAGCGGCCGAUGUCGGAUUAGCUAGUUGGUGGGGUAAAGGCCUACCAAGGCGACGAUCCGUAGCUGGUCUGAGAGGACGACCAGCCACACUGGAACUGAGACACGGCCCAGACUCCUACGGGAGGCAGCAGUGGGGAAUUUUGGACAAUGGGCGCAAGCCUGAUCCAGCAAUGCCGCGUGCGGGAAGAAGGCCUUCGGGUUGUAAACCGCUUUUGGCAGGAACGAAACGGUGUCCGCUAAUACCGGGCGGUAAUGACGGUACCUGCAGAAUAAGCACCGGCUAACUACGUG
RNAcentral lists this ribosomal RNA (492 nucleotides) under uncultured bacterium. RNAcentral describes it as "partial 16S ribosomal RNA". It matches the Rfam family "Bacterial small subunit ribosomal RNA", at positions 29 to 507 of the family's 1533-position model. The record is from RNAcentral.